CUUGCAGAACGAGGUGAAGGAGGUGGUUCUGCUCAGCAGUCAACAGUGGCCACAUCUCCACCUGCAGCGACUUGAUGGCUUCCGUGUCCUUUUCGUGGG
Molecule: microRNA precursor, 99 nt
Organism: Cebus imitator (Panamanian white-faced capuchin)
Lineage: Eukaryota; Metazoa; Chordata; Mammalia; Primates; Cebidae
Source: Ensembl